UCCGGUGGCAGGAGGACCAGUGGGUGAAAUAUCAGGGCGGAGCUUUCCAUGCUUGGCAGAUGGAUGCCUUGUGAACUUAAAGGCAAAGUAAUCAACUUAACAUAAAUCGCAAGAGGCAAUUUCACAGGGUCGGACGCCACCAUACGCUCUAGCAUGUAGUUGCUACACAUUUGUUGACGACAGUAGCCUACUAUAGCGUGACUGACAAUGCUGCUGAGGCUAUGCACACAAGCUCGGACGUACAGGACUAUGUUUGGAACGCUAAACAAACAUGGCCUUCUCUCCUUCAGAAGCUUGCUGUGUUGGUUGCUGCUGGAUGCGUUGUGUGCCCCUGUAGGGAGUGUCUCUGUACUGAGGAAAUUCUUCUCAGGAAGUGGCGUAUAGGUUGGUUACAUGUGCAGUCCACUCUUCAUACGCUCCCUCUACUGGUGUCCACUCUGUCACCCUCCCGGUCAGUAUUAAAUGGUUUUACCCUACAGAACAUGAGGGAGGGGGGAUUGAGAGAGUGUUUGUAUAGCCAACAAUUGGUUGAAUGUGAAAUUCUAAUCUAAUUUUAGACACCUUGACCUGUUUAUUUGACCUUCUUAAAUUGAAAUGUAUUUAUUUCAGUUAAACUGACUUCUCACAGCUGUUUUGAAAUACUAUUUUGCACUGUAUUCAUUUCUUGUUCCUCAUGCCAGUAUUUUAGACAACACUGAAAUGCUUAAUUUGUCCAAUGCAAAAGAAGCAUUUCCUGUUCAUAGUUUUGUAAGCCAAAAGGAUUAACAAGACAUGUUUGUCUGCUGAGAGUAGCAGAGAGAGGAAGACGGAAAGAAAGAGAGGGGAGGGGGGUCGAAAGCAGACACAGUUGUGUUUCAGACAUUUUUUUGUCCUAUAAAAAGUUGAGAAAAUUUGAGUUUUCCCUUUGCUAACAGAAAUAAAUGCUGAAUUUAAUUUAUUUAGCAUUGAAAUUAUAAAGCUACACGUGUGUUUAAAAACUCUGCAGUUUUGGAUAAAAAAAAAAAAAGUGAGACGUGGUCUUAGAGUUGGUGGAAUCAGGUCAAAGAAUUCCUGAACCAUGUUCGGGAAAUAUGGAACACCCGGAAUUCCAGGGGUGGGGCCAUAGCGAGCGAGAGAGCACUCCAUAAACAAGAACUCCGGCAAAUGUUAAUCGAACACACAUGCUCUCUCUCACGAAGAAGAGGGGAAGAAAAGGGAGGGAGCGGGUACUUUCCAAGUCUCCUAGAGAAAGUUUGCAAAGUUCUUGUUAAUAAUGUGCGCCUCGUUCUGUUCUGCAAAGAGUGCAAAACUCUGCGAUACUUGAAAUGCAUUUCAUUUAUGCUUUAUCCUUUUUAUCAACCACCCCUUUAGGCCUCUGACUGAUCCACAUCUAAAUAAAGCUUCAUUUAAGAGAGAAAAAAUUGGUGUUGUAAACAUAUUUGACAAACUGUGAACUGAAGCCCAGAACUCAUCGGAAAUAGACAGAGUUGUUUGCACAUUGUUGCCUCGGUAUAAAGUCACUAAUGCUCAUAAAGGUGAAGCACUGUUUUAAUCCUAAAUGACUGCUAAAAAUUAAAUGUCAUUCACCUUUUUCUUCAGAUUCAGUAUUGGAAACAAUUUGCUCAGAGCUUGUGACUGUAUAUAGUGCUCUAGUGUGGGUUGCCUGAAUCUAGGGCAGAGAGUAAGUACUCCACUGAAGUCAGCACUUAAUGUAGCACUAGUAAGCGCUCUUAUUCUCAUAUGAGGGCCGACAAUCAAAAUUGUGCUAUAUUAGAGCCCCUGUCUAUCUCUCUCUCUCUCUCUCUCUCUCUCUCUCUCUCUCUCUCUCUCUUUUUUAAAUAAAUGCCUGUAAAGCCUAUUUGAAUAUUUGAAACAUGAAAUGUUUCACCACAAAUAAUAAAGUCAGUAUGUUAUUUAUAUAAAAUAUAUGCCACAUAGCAUAGUUGACAUAUUUUAGAAGUAUUUCCUUACCUAUUAAAAAUGUUAAGGACACCUUUUUAAAAUUGUAUUUGUUAAUACUUACAGGGAUAAUUAAAACUGAGAUUAAAAUUCUAUCAUCAUUUACACGUCCUCAUCACUUACAUUUGGGUUUUAAAAAAGCAAGUGAAGUCACUCUGUUUUUUGCAACUUGUUUUUUGACCACUUGACCUUCAAUGUGUAGACAAAACGGUUAAAUAAAUGUUCAAACAUCUUCUGCAGAAGAAACUCAUGAGGUUGAGUAAAGGAGUAAAAGGUGAUAAUUAAAAUUUUUGCAUUAAAUAUUCCUAUAAGUGUCGUCCUUUGACUGAAAAUAUAGUUCUUGGCAUAAUGUUGCUAUGCAACAAAUUCAAGUCCAGUACAAUGAUUUGGCAAACUGUUUUUUUUUUUUUUUUUUUAUGUAAUGUUACUAUACUGUGAAUUUCAGCAUUAAAGCUGAUGAAAAAAUGUCUCAAUCAGUCAGAAGCAAUGUCCUUGACUAAUUGUUUUAUAUAAUUGUUCUGUACACGUUUCACCUUUUCCAAUAGCGGUUUCGAAAAUUAGGUCAGCAGAGUCCAUCCGUCUUCGAUAUUGUGAAGAAUUGAAAUUACUACUAUGAAGUUUUCCAGAGCCAUUUCAGGAGAAAGUUCUGAAAGGCUGCAUUCAGAAAUGUGUCAGAACAUUAGAAUGGAGCUCUGUGCAAGUGUGUACAUGUAAGUUUGUGUGUUUGCACCUUUUGUGUACAUGUAUGUGCUUGUGUUUGCGCUGUCUGUCUCCGUGCUGUGUGCAGCUCCUCCAGUCCUCCGCUCACAGGGUGUGGGUGAGCUGUUUGAACUCGGUGGUUAAGCUGGUAGACUGAGAUGAAUGCAAGAAGAGCUCAGUCUCCUCUUUGAAGUUUGACACGGGGGGUUACCCCUCCCACCAGGAGGGGCUUCAGCAGAGAAAGAGAGAAUGGGGGGGGGGGGGGGAGAAAAACUUUACUCUUGUUUUUUGUGAGAAACACUAGAGGUCCAGCUUGACUCUCAAAUUGUCAGAAGGCUUCUUCUUGUUUUAAUUAUCUACUCUGAGAACAGCUACGCUAUUACGCUAUGCUUUCACCUAGUAUCUUAGAAUAGGAAAACUUUCCCAAGACAGAUGUUGGAAAGCUGAGUUUUUUAAAUAUUGUAUUACAAACAGUUGUAAGUGUUCAAAGUUGUUGUCUGUCAAAUAAGACACAAGUAAUCUAGCGGGAAAGUCCCUUUUAAAGAAAUGAGUACAUUACUUGAAGACCUCCCGCUCUCGCUGUCUCUCACAAACACACACACAUAUGCAUGCUGUGUCGUGUCUGGGAGACACCUAAAAGAGAGGCCUGGCCAGGUGUGCAGCAGAGACUGAGGAUGAUACAGGUAUGAGCAAGUUCCUUGACAGAUCCAGCAACAGGCUCAAGGACUCUGCUCUGGCUUGUUAUCCCUCAUCUGUUUCUCCUUCUUCUUUACUGGGUUUUUAAACAUGCUGCUAUAUCUUUUAUAUUUUUACAUAUCUAAAAAAUCUUUAAAAUAACAAUAUACCAUUCCACGCCAGUAGAAAAAAAACAAAUUUGUAAUUGUUAGUGUUUUCCCCAACCAUAUCAUUUAUAGGUAUUUUUGUUUUAGGACCUAUUUUUUAUAAGAAGACAGUGGGGAAAGGACCGGAAAUAUUUCAAGCCAAAUUCGAACUUGUGUUGUCCAUAUGAUCACCACAGUGUCUGCUGCUUUUUGGAUAAAAGCACUUACAUUAGCACAUUGGACCUUUGCUCAGAAAGAUCCAACUCUGUUUUGGGUUGCAGUACCUGACCAACAACUACCAUCAUUGUUUCUGAAGCUCUGCCACACCCUCACGUUGCCCGGGGCUCUAUGGGUCACCCUAUCCCACUGUCCUCAUCGAAGACAAUGACUUCCUCAGAAUCCCCCAUUGUAAGACACAUGGUAUAGGUCUCAGUUUUCUUGUUAGAUUUGGGAGGCGUGGCCUUUGAGGAUGUUUUUGCCAAGAGGCAGCAUCAGCACAUCUAAAAAAAAAUGACUAACAGCCGUUGUCAUAUGUGUGUGUACAAAUGUCAGAGUUUGUCUGUUCAAAGAUGCCUUCAAAUAGCCACUUACUGAGCAUUUACCUUCUAAAGUGUGAGACUGUCUGAAGCCAAGCAAGUCACAGUCAUCUCUUUGUGUGCUAUAAGGGUCUUAAUAAAUGAAGUAAAACAA
Carassius gibelio (silver crucian carp) is the source of this 4148-nucleotide long non-coding RNA. RefSeq lists it as uncharacterized. NCBI's taxonomy places the organism in Eukaryota, Metazoa, Chordata, Actinopteri, Cypriniformes, Cyprinidae. The record is from RefSeq and is a predicted model, not a curated record. The transcript has 3 exons.